CCCUGGUUAGCUCAGUUGGUAGAGCGCUUUACCUGUAAUGUAGAGAUCCCGGGUUCGAUACCUGGACCAGGCG
This 73-nucleotide transfer RNA is filed under the name Ixodes scapularis (black-legged tick). It matches the Rfam family "tRNA". From Rfam's summary of the family: Transfer RNA (tRNA) molecules are approximately 80 nucleotides in length. Lineage: Eukaryota; Metazoa; Arthropoda; Arachnida; Ixodida; Ixodidae. The record is from Rfam by way of RNAcentral.